UAUGAAAUUAGAAACUUUUGAAUUCAUCUCAGUUCCAGCAAAAGAAGAAAUGAAAGAUUUGCAUGGUGGUCUCCUCCUUCUCUUCAGCCACAAUAAUGCAAAAGUGGAAGAUGAUAUUUGUGAGCUUCAAGAAGAGGUUGUAUGGUAUUAUAAACCAAAUUAGGCACAAGAUUCAGGCUCAAACUCCAACAUAAAAUGUAAUUCUAACUACUCUUUUAGUUUAGCUUUAGCGACUCCAUUUUUGUGGAACAUUCCUACGAUCCUAAGAAUCAUCUUGAAGGUAGCUAGAGGUGACGACAGUGGAGGUGGCUGCCAGGAGCCGACACUUACCAAGGUGGUUGCGCUCAGCUGGUCAUCUUCCUUUUCUCAAUUUCUUUCAUUUCUUGCACAAAACAAAUGCAGCCAUCACAUCAAAACUUGCCUGUCGCCUCACAAUCACUGCUCACCCUCCGCCGGACUGCUCUAUUCUCCCUAACUGCUAUUGCCCAUCGACACUAGCUCCACUGCAUGCGAUGAUCUGCUCCUUCUCUUCUAAAGACUAUCACAAAUGCAUUUGAAAAGCUAGAGGAAAUCUUCUAAUAACAAAGAUCGCUUUUUCAACGAGUAAAGGCUGUCCUUGAGCCAAGAUUCCUUCUCUUUUUCAACGAGUAAAGGCUAUUAGUGACGAUAUGGAUGUUGGGAAUGAAACUAAUAAAACUCAUUAAACUAAUCUUGGAGAUGUUGAGGAUGUGGAUGUUGAUGUUGCACAGCUUCUUUUGGAUCCUGGAUUGAGAGUCGUAAUACAGAAUUAUGAUGCCAAUGUUUGAGAUGUGAUUCGGAUAGCAUAUGUGCAAAUGGGUCCUUGUCAACCUCGCAAUCAUAAGUUUCCAUCCACAAGAAUGUGUAACAAAGAUAGGCAAUUUUAUGUUUCAUGGUAUAAUGAGCAUCCUAGUUGGUUGGAAUGUAGUAUAACAAAAGAUGCUGUAUUUUACUUCUACUGCUAUCUUUUUAGUUUGAGUGCUGGUUCAUUUGUUAAUGGCGGCUACUCUAAUUGGAAAAAGAAAGACAAUAUCAGAAAACACAUCAGGGCUUCUAGUAGUGCACACAAUUAGGCUCGGGUCAGGCUGGGUCAAGUACGAAUCAUUCAAGAAUAAAAAAAAUAAAGCCUCUUUAAGCAAUCACAUCAAGCUCGAAAUGAUUAUCGAAUUUGUUUGAAAUCGUUAACUGAUUGUGUUUGAUUUUAUACGACAAGGGAUUGUCUUUUGUGGACAUGAUUAAUAUGAAGAUUCGAACAAUCAAGAGAUCUUUUUUGAACUAUUGAAUUUGUUGUGUGAUCAUAAUGCUGAGACUAAGGUUGUCGCUAUGGUGUAUACGCCUGAAAAUCUUAAAUUAGCAUCCCCACGAGUUCAAAAGGAUAUUGUAGGUGCUAUUGCUUUUAAAACUCUAAAUAUGAUUGUUAAAAGAUAUUAGUGAUGACUUGUUUUCUAUUCCAGUUGAUGUAUCCUGUAACAUUCAGUAAAGGAGCAAAUGUCAAUUGUCAUUCAUUAUGUGAAGAAUGGGCAUGUAUUGAAGCAUUUUAUUGAUGUCACACACGUAUAGAGUA
Olea europaea var. sylvestris is the source of this 1582-nucleotide long non-coding RNA. RefSeq lists it as uncharacterized. The record is from RefSeq and is a predicted model, not a curated record. The transcript is spliced from 2 exons. NCBI's taxonomy places the organism in Eukaryota, Viridiplantae, Streptophyta, Magnoliopsida, Lamiales, Oleaceae.